UUAUUUCCUCUCUCCCCACCAGCGCAGUGUCUCUUUGCUUCCUGCCCCUCAGCCCUUCUUUCUUCCACCCACUCUCCUUCCCCUCUCUCUUUUCCCAUCCCUACUAAGAAAAGCAGGAAUGAUUGUGGACGUGGAAUGCAGACGGGAAAGGAGCCGCGGGCAGGAGGAGACAAACUAGAAACAUCUCAGGAACUAGUCCAGCCCCACCCAGCUGCAGAUAUGACAAAAGGAACAGUCUCAGACCAACAACGGAAUCCUAGACAGCGAAAAGCAAGGUUGGAAAGAUCCACACUGCUGCACAUCUGAGAGUGGACCGUGCUGGGCCCCCAGAGGAAGUGGGGAGAGCGUCACCAACCACGGCCCCGGCUACAGCCCAAUGCAGGGCCACGAUCGUCACUCCUGUCACCUGGAUCCUCCUGGUGACCCUCACCUGCUCUCUUCUCCUCGGCAU
Diceros bicornis minor is the source of this 451-nucleotide long non-coding RNA. RefSeq lists it as uncharacterized. The record is from RefSeq and is a predicted model, not a curated record. The transcript has 3 exons. NCBI's taxonomy places the organism in Eukaryota, Metazoa, Chordata, Mammalia, Perissodactyla, Rhinocerotidae.